GCAUAUCAAUAAGCGGAGGAAAAGAAACCAACAGGGAUUGCCCUAGUAACGGCGAGUGAAGCGGCAACAGCUCAAAUUUGAAAUCUGGCGCAAGCCCGAGUUGUAAUUUGUAGAGGAUGCUUCUGGGCAGCGGCCGUUCUAAGUUCCUUGGAACAGGACGUCAUAGAGGGUGAGAAUCCCGUAUGUGACCGGCACGUACCCUUUACGUAGCUCCUUCGACGAGUCGAGUUGUUUGGGAAUGCAGCUCUAAAUGGGAGGUAAAUUCCUUCUAAAGCUAAAUACCGGCCAGAGACCGAUAGCGCACAAGUAGAGUGAUCGAAAGAUGAAAAGCACUUUGGAAAGAGAGUUAAAAAGCACGUGAAAUUGUUGAAAGGGAAGCGCUUACAACCAGACUUCGUGGCGGUGUUCCGCCGGUCUUCUGACCGGUCUACUCGCCGCCGCGAGGCCAGCAUCGUCUGGGGCCGCCGGAUAAGACCUUAGGAAUGUAGCUUGCCUCGGUAAGUGUUAUAGCCUAGGGUGAUGCGGCGUGCCUCGGGC
Molecule: ribosomal RNA, 537 nt
Filed under: Phaeophleospora scytalidii
Lineage: Eukaryota; Fungi; Ascomycota; Dothideomycetes; Mycosphaerellales; Mycosphaerellaceae
Description: eukaryotic LSU rRNA
Rfam family: Eukaryotic large subunit ribosomal RNA
Source: RNAcentral